This 829-nucleotide ribosomal RNA is filed under the name Chaenotheca sphaerocephala. Its description in RNAcentral is "SSU rRNA". It matches the Rfam family "Bacterial small subunit ribosomal RNA", at positions 370 to 1294 of the family's 1533-position model. Lineage: Eukaryota; Fungi; Ascomycota; Coniocybomycetes; Coniocybales; Coniocybaceae. The record is from RNAcentral.
AAUGGCCUAACGGCUGAACCAGCAACUUGGAGGAAUGUAUAUUGACUACGUCGAAUAAAGUUCAGGUAGAAUAAUGAUAAUGACAAUUUUCUAUCUUAUGUCUUGACCAAAUCACGUGCCAGCAGUCGCGGUAAGACGUGGAAGACAAGUGUUAUUCAUCUUUAAUAGGUUUAAAGGGUACCUAGACGGUAUUUUUAGCCCAUAAUAGGGUACGGAAUUACUAGAGUUUUAAUAUAGGAAGGGGAGUAUUUUUAGUGUAGAGAUGAAAUUCUGUCAUACUUCAAGGACUGGUAAAGGCGAAGGCAACCUUCUAGGUAAAAACUGACGUUGAGGGACGAAGGCUUGGGUAGCAAUAAGGAUUAGAUACCCUUGUAGUCCUUGCAGAAAAUUAUGAAUGCCAUACAUUAGAUUAGUUUAGUGUAUAAAUAAAAGUGUAAGCAUUCCACCUCAAGAGUAAUGUGGCAACGCAGGAACUGAAAUCAUUAGACCGUUUCUGAAACCAGUAGUGAAGUAUGUUAUUUAAUUCGAUAAUCCUCGAAAAACCUUACCACUGGAUCAAUUAUAUGAUAAUUUGUAUAAUUACAAGCGCUGCACGGCUGUCUUCAGUUAAUGUCGUGAGAUUUUGGUUUAUCCUAAAAAUUAACGUAAACCCUUACUUUAUUUAUUUUUUAUUAAUAAAGUGUUUGACCACUAUAUCGGUCAUAAUGAAAGGGACUAAGACAAGUCAUCAUGGCCUCAAUAUUGUGGGCUAUAGACGUGCCAUAUAUGCCUAUACAAAAAGAUGCGAUAAUGUGAAUUGGAGCUAAUCUUUCAAAAUAGGAUAUAACAA